RNAcentral lists this ribosomal RNA (2906 nucleotides) under Salmonella enterica subsp. enterica serovar Dublin. RNAcentral describes it as "23S ribosomal RNA". It matches the Rfam family "Bacterial large subunit ribosomal RNA". The record is from RNAcentral. Lineage: Bacteria; Pseudomonadati; Pseudomonadota; Gammaproteobacteria; Enterobacterales; Enterobacteriaceae.
GGUUAAGCGACUAAGCGUACACGGUGGAUGCCCUGGCAGUCAGAGGCGAUGAAGGGCGUGCUAAUCUGCGAUAAGCGCCGGUAAGGUGAUAUGAACCGUUAUAACCGGCGAUACCCGAAUGGGGAAACCCAGUGUGAUUCGUCACACUAUCAUUAACUGAAUCCAUAGGUUAAUGAGGCGAACCGGGGGAACUGAAACAUCUAAGUACCCCGAGGAAAAGAAAUCAACCGAGAUUCCCCCAGUAGCGGCGAGCGAACGGGGAGGAGCCCAGAGCCUGAAUCAGCAUGUGUGUUAGUGGAAGCGUCUGGAAAGGCGCGCGAUACAGGGUGACAGCCCCGUACACAAAAGCGCAUGUGCUGUGAGCUCGAUGAGUAGGGCGGGACACGUGGUAUCCUGUCUGAAUAUGGGGGGACCAUCCUCCAAGGCUAAAUACUCCUGACUGACCGAUAGUGAACCAGUACCGUGAGGGAAAGGCGAAAAGAACCCCGGCGAGGGGAGUGAAAAAGAACCUGAAACCGUGUACGUACAAGCAGUGGGAGCACAGGUUUACCUGUGUGACUGCGUACCUUUUGUAUAAUGGGUCAGCGACUUAUAUUCUGUAGCAAGGUUAACCGAAUAGGGGAGCCGGAGGGAAACCGAGUCUUAAUUGGGCGUUAAGUUGCAGGGUAUAGACCCGAAACCCGGUGAUCUAGCCAUGGGCAGGUUGAAGGUUGGGUAACACUAACUGGAGGACCGAACCGACUAAUGUUGAAAAAUUAGCGGAUGACCUGUGGCUGGGGGUGAAAGGCCAAUCAAACCGGGAGAUAGCUGGUUCUCCCCGAAAGCUAUUUAGGUAGCGCCUCGUGAAUUCAUCUCCGGGGGUAGAGCACUGUUUCGGCUAGGGGGCCAUCCCGGCUUACCAACCCGAUGCAAACUGCGAAUACCGGAGAAUGUUAUCACGGGAGACACACGGCGGGUGCUAACGUCCGUCGUGAAGAGGGAAACAACCCAGACCGCCAGCUAAGGUCCCAAAGUCAUGGUUAAGUGGGAAACGAUGUGGGAAGGCCCAGACAGCCAGGAUGUUGGCUUAGAAGCAGCCAUCAUUUAAAGAAAGCGUAAUAGCUCACUGGUCGAGUCGGCCUGCGCGGAAGAUGUAACGGGGCUAAACCAUGCACCGAAGCUGCGGCAGCGACGCUUAUGCGUUGUUGGGUAGGGGAGCGUUCUGUAAGCCUGUGAAGGUGGCCUGUGAGGGUUGCUGGAGGUAUCAGAAGUGCGAAUGCUGACAUAAGUAACGAUAAAGCGGGUGAAAAGCCCGCUCGCCGGAAGACCAAGGGUUCCUGUCCAACGUUAAUCGGGGCAGGGUGAGUCGACCCCUAAGGCGAGGCCGAAAGGCGUAGUCGAUGGGAAACGGGUUAAUAUUCCCGUACUUGGUGUUACUGCGAAGGGGGACGGAGAAGGCUAUGUUGGCCGGGCGACGGUUGUCCCGGUUUAAGCGUGUAGGUGUGUGUUCCAGGUAAAUCCGGUUCACUUUAACACUGAGGCGUGAUGACGAGGCACUACGGUGCUGAAGUAACAAAUGCCCUGCUUCCAGGAAAAGCCUCUAAGCAUCAGGUAACAUCAAAUCGUACCCCAAACCGACACAGGUGGUCAGGUAGAGAAUACCAAGGCGCUUGAGAGAACUCGGGUGAAGGAACUAGGCAAAAUGGUGCCGUAACUUCGGGAGAAGGCACGCUGACACGUAGGUGAAGUGAUUUACUCAUGGAGCUGAAGUCAGUCGAAGAUACCAGCUGGCUGCAACUGUUUAUUAAAAACACAGCACUGUGCAAACACGAAAGUGGACGUAUACGGUGUGACGCCUGCCCGGUGCCGGAAGGUUAAUUGAUGGGGUCAGCGCAAGCGAAGCUCCUGAUCGAAGCCCCGGUAAACGGCGGCCGUAACUAUAACGGUCCUAAGGUAGCGAAAUUCCUUGUCGGGUAAGUUCCGACCUGCACGAAUGGCGUAAUGAUGGCCAGGCUGUCUCCACCCGAGACUCAGUGAAAUUGAACUCGCUGUGAAGAUGCAGUGUACCCGCGGCAAGACGGAAAGACCCCGUGAACCUUUACUAUAGCUUGACACUGAACAUUGAGCCUUGAUGUGUAGGAUAGGUGGGAGGCUUUGAAGCGUGGACGCCAGUCUGCGUGGAGCCGACCUUGAAAUACCACCCUUUAAUGUUUGAUGUUCUAACGUGGACCCGUGAUCCGGGUUGCGGACAGUGUCUGGUGGGUAGUUUGACUGGGGCGGUCUCCUCCUAAAGAGUAACGGAGGAGCACGAAGGUUGGCUAAUCCUGGUCGGACAUCAGGAGGUUAGUGCAAUGGCAUAAGCCAGCUUGACUGCGAGCGUGACGGCGCGAGCAGGUGCGAAAGCAGGUCAUAGUGAUCCGGUGGUUCUGAAUGGAAGGGCAAUCGCUCAACGGAUAAAAGGUACUCCGGGGAUAACAGGCUGAUACCGCCCAAGAGUUCAUAUCGACGGCGGUGUUUGGCACCUCGAUGUCGGCUCAUCACAUCCUGGGGCUGAAGUAGGUCCCAAGGGUAUGGCUGUUCGCCAUUUAAAGUGGUACGCGAGCUGGGUUUAGAACGUCGUGAGACAGUUCGGUCCCUAUCUGCCGUGGGCGCUGGAGAACUGAGGGGGCUGCUCCUAGUACGAGAGGACCGGAGUGGACGCAUCACUGGUGUUCGGGUUGUCAUGCCAAUGGCACUGCCCGGUAGCUAAAUGCGGAAGAGAUAAGUGCUGAAAGCAUCUAAGCACGAAACUUGCCCCGAGAUGAGUUCUCCCUGAGACUUAGAGUCUCCUGAAGGAACGUUGAAGACGACGACGUUGAUAGGCCGGGUGUGUAAGCGCAGCGAUGCGUUGAGCUAACCGGUACUAAUGAACCGUGAGGCUUAACCUU